RNAcentral lists this ribosomal RNA (548 nucleotides) under uncultured bacterium. RNAcentral describes it as "bacterial SSU rRNA". It matches the Rfam family "Bacterial small subunit ribosomal RNA", at positions 358 to 898 of the family's 1533-position model. The record is from RNAcentral.
GGAAUUUUGGACAAUGGGCGCAAGCCUGAUCCAGCCAUGCCGCGUGUGUGAAGAAGGCCUUCGGGUUGUAAAGCACUUUCGGCCGGGACGAAAUCGCUCGGGUUAACACCCAGGGUGGAUGACGGUACCGGAAGAAGAAGCACCGGCUAACUACGUGCCAGCAGCCGCGGUAAUACGUAGGGUGCAAGCGUUAAUCGGAAUUACUGGGCGUAAAGCGUGCGCAGGCGGUUUUGUAAGCCAGACGUGAAAUCCCCGGGCUUAACCUGGGAACUGCGUUUGGAACUGCAAGGCUAGAGUGCGGCAGAGGAAGGUGGAAUUCCUGGUGUAGCAGUGAAAUGCGUAGAUAUCAGGAGGAACACCGAUGGCGAAGGCAGCCUUCUGGGCUAGCACUGACGCUCAUGCACGAAAGCGUGGGGAGCAAACAGGAUUAGAUACCCUGGUAGUCCACGCCCUAAACUAUGACGACUAGUUGUUGGGGAUUUAACAUCCUUAGUAACGCAGCUAACGCGUGAAGUCGUCCGCCUGGGGAGUACGGUCGCAAGAUUAAA